CAGCCGCCGCGGUAAUACAGAGGGUGCGAGCGUUAAUCGGAAUUACUGGGCGUAAAGCGUGCGUAGGCGGCUUCUUAAGUCGGAUGUGAAAUCCCUGAGCUUAACUUAGGAAUUGCAUUCGAUACUGGGAAGCUAGAGUAUGGGAGAGGAUGGUAGAAUUCCAGGUGUAGCGGUGAAAUGCGUAGAGAUCUGGAGGAAUACCGAUGGCGAAGGCAGCCAUCUGGCCUAAUACUGACGCUGAGGUACGAAAGCAUGGGGAGCAAACAGGAUUAGAUACCCCAGUAGUCCCUGUCUCUUAUAC
Molecule: ribosomal RNA, 301 nt
Filed under: uncultured bacterium
Lineage: Bacteria
Description: partial 16S ribosomal RNA
Rfam family: Bacterial small subunit ribosomal RNA
Source: RNAcentral